GAUGAAGAACGCAGCGAAGUGCGAUAAGUAAUGCGAAUUGCAGAUUUCAGUGAGUCAUCGAAUCUUUGAACGCACAUUGCGCCCGCCAGUAUUCUGGCGGGCAUGCCUGUUCGAGCGUCAUUUCAACCAUCAAGCCCCCGGGCUUGCGUUGGGGCCCUGCGGCUGCCGCAGGCCCCGAAAAGCAGUGGCGGGCUCGCUGUCACACCGAGCGCAGUAGCGAUUCUCGCUCCGGGCGUCGGCGGCGGGCACCGGCCGUGAAACCCCCCCACAUCCACAAGGUUGACCUCGGAUCAGGUAGGAAGACCCGCUGAACUUAAGCAUAUCAAUAAGCGGAGGA
Molecule: unclassified non-coding RNA, 337 nt
Filed under: soil metagenome
Description: partial contains 5.8S ribosomal RNA, internal transcribed spacer 2, and large subunit ribosomal RNA
Rfam family: 5.8S ribosomal RNA (bases 1-120)
Source: RNAcentral